Molecule: ribosomal RNA, 475 nt
Filed under: uncultured organism
Description: partial 16S ribosomal RNA
Rfam family: Bacterial small subunit ribosomal RNA
Source: RNAcentral
UACACUCCUGCGGGAGGCAGCAGUGGGGAAUUUUGGACAAUGGGCGAAAGCCUGAUCCAGCAAUGCCGCGUGUGUGAAGAAGGCCUUCGGGUUGUAAAGCACUUUUGUCCGGAAAGAAAUCCUUGGCUCUAAUACAGUCGGGGGAUGACGGUACCGGAAGAAUAAGCACCGGCUAACUACGUGCCAGCAGCCGCGGUAAUACGUAGGGUGCGAGCGUUAAUCGGAAUUACUGGGCGUAAAGCGUGCGCAGGCGGUUUGCUAAGACCGAUGUGAAAUCCCCGGGCUCAACCUGGGAACUGCAUUGGUGACUGGCAGGCUAGAGUAUGGCAGAGGGGGGUAGAAUUCCACGUGUAGCAGUGAAAUGCGUAGAGAUGUGGAGGAAUACCGAUGGCGAAGGCAGCCCCCUGGGCCAAUACUGACGCUCAUGCACGAAAGCGUGGGGAGCAAACAGGAUUAGAUACCCGAGUAGUCCCAU